RNAcentral lists this unclassified non-coding RNA (239 nucleotides) under Hevea brasiliensis (rubber tree). Lineage: Eukaryota; Viridiplantae; Streptophyta; Magnoliopsida; Malpighiales; Euphorbiaceae. The record is from RNAcentral.
GCCACAAGGACGAAAACUUCCCGGUCGCGUCAUGGAUCAUCCAUCCGCGCCACCGGGCGCUGAUCCUUGCGUUCUAUAAUUUUGUGCGCACCGGCGACGACGUUGCCGAUCAUGCGACGCUGCCCGCGCAGGAAAAGCUCGACAAGCUCGAUCUGCUGGAAGCCGAACUGCUCGGGAAGGGCGACACGCAGCCGGAAGCGGUGGCGCUGCGCAAGGCGUUUGCCGAACGCGGAAUGUCC